UACAGAGGGGGCAAGCGUUGUUCGGAAUUACUGGGCGUAAAGGGCGCGUAGGCGGCCCGCUAAGUCAGACGUGAAAUCCCUCGGCUUAACCGGGGAACUGCGUCUGAUACUGGAUGGCUUGAGUUCGGGAGAGGGAUGCGGAAUUCCAGGUGUAGCGGUGAAAUGCGUAGAUAUCUGGAGGAACACCGGUGGCGAAGGCGGCAUCCUGGACCGACACUGACACUGAGGAGCGAAAGCCAGGGGAGCAAUCGGG
This 253-nucleotide ribosomal RNA is filed under the name uncultured bacterium. RNAcentral's name for it is "partial 16S ribosomal RNA". It matches the Rfam family "Bacterial small subunit ribosomal RNA", at positions 524 to 776 of the family's 1533-position model. The record is from RNAcentral.